GAUGAAGAACGUAGCGAAAUGCGAUAAGUAGUGUGAAUUGCAGAAUUCAGUGAAUCAUCGAAUCUUUGAACGCACAUUGCGCCCCCUGGUAUUCCGGGGGGCAUGCCUGUCCGAGCGUCAUUACAACCCUCAAGCUCUGCUUGGUGUUGGGCCCCGCCGCCCCGGCGGGCCCUAAAGUCAGUGGCGGUGCCAUCCGGCUCCGAGCGUAGUAAUUCUUCUCGCUCUGGAGGUCCGGUUGUGUGCUUGCCAUCAACCCCCAAUUUUUUUCAGGUUGACCUCGGAUCAGGUAGGGAUACCCGCUGAACUUAAGCAUAUCAAUAAGCGGAGGA
This 329-nucleotide unclassified non-coding RNA is filed under the name soil metagenome. RNAcentral's name for it is "partial contains 5.8S ribosomal RNA, internal transcribed spacer 2, and large subunit ribosomal RNA". The stretch from base 1 to 120 matches the Rfam family "5.8S ribosomal RNA", at positions 35 to 154 of the family's 154-position model. The record is from RNAcentral.